Molecule: non-coding RNA, 129 nt
Filed under: Gammaproteobacteria bacterium
Lineage: Bacteria; Pseudomonadati; Pseudomonadota; Gammaproteobacteria
Description: TPP sequence
Rfam family: TPP riboswitch aptamer (THI element)
About the family: Vitamin B(1) in its active form thiamin pyrophosphate (TPP) is an essential coenzyme that is synthesised by coupling of pyrimidine and thiazole moieties in bacteria. The previously detected thiamin-regulatory element, thi box was extended, resulting in a new, highly conserved RNA secondary structure, the THI element, which is widely distributed in eubacteria and also occurs in some archaea.
Source: RNAcentral
UGCAACCACUAGGGGUGCUAUGUCCUUUUCUAAUGCGCUUUUAAAAGACACAGCUGAGAGAGCAAAAGCUUAACCCUUUGAACCUGAUCAGAUUGUUUAUCUGCGUAGGGAAAGUGAGCCAAUCUAAUU